UCCUUAGAGACUAGUGGUUAGUCCACAGUGCUCUCACCGCUGCGGUCUGGGUUCGAUUCCCAGCCAGGGAA
This 71-nucleotide transfer RNA is filed under the name Pangasianodon gigas (Mekong giant catfish). RNAcentral describes it as "tRNA-Glu". It matches the Rfam family "tRNA". From Rfam's summary of the family: Transfer RNA (tRNA) molecules are approximately 80 nucleotides in length. Their secondary structure includes four short double-helical elements and three loops (D, anti-codon, and T loops). Further hydrogen bonds mediate the characteristic L-shaped molecular structure. tRNAs have two regions of fundamental functional importance: the anti-codon, which is responsible for specific mRNA codon recognition, and the 3' end, to which the tRNAs corresponding amino acid is attached (by aminoacyl-tRNA synthetases). tRNAs cope with the degeneracy of the genetic code in two manners: having more than one tRNA (with a specific anti-codon) for a particular amino acid; and 'wobble' base-pairing, i.e. permitting non-standard base-pairing at the 3rd anti-codon position. The record is from RNAcentral. Lineage: Eukaryota; Metazoa; Chordata; Actinopteri; Siluriformes; Pangasiidae.